RNAcentral lists this non-coding RNA (21 nucleotides) under Arabidopsis thaliana (thale cress). Lineage: Eukaryota; Viridiplantae; Streptophyta; Magnoliopsida; Brassicales; Brassicaceae. The record is from RNAcentral.
UCCAGUGGGGUGCUUAUAUGU